This 1413-nucleotide long non-coding RNA is filed under the name Homo sapiens (human). RNAcentral's name for it is "HSALNT0285951". The record is from RNAcentral. Lineage: Eukaryota; Metazoa; Chordata; Mammalia; Primates; Hominidae.
GUUUUAUCCGGGGUUUCCGCUUUUGCGUCUUCGUCAUUUUUCUCUUGCUACCACCAUUUGAGAAGUGCCUUUCGCCUCCUGCCAUGAUUCUGAGGUCCUCCCAAGCUAUGGGGAACUGUAAAUACAAUUAAACCUCUUUUUCUUCCCAGUCUCCGGUAUGUCUUUAUCAGCAGCAUGUAAAGGGACUAAUCCAGAGAGCCCCACCUGGAAGACUCUAGGUUCUCAUCUUCAUGCCCCGAUGUAAGGAGAGUGGUCCUUCUGUACAUCAGGAGUCUGAAAUGCAUCUCACUGGGCUAAAAUCAAGAUCUGUGGCACAUGGAACCACAUGUGGGACAAGAGACUAAUAAAGAUGUGACCUACUCACAGAGGCUUCAGGUGUUUUGCGAAGUACAUUGGCUUUUAUUCAACGUGCAGUGGGACUCCAACUAAAGUGUUUCAGGAAGGCACGGCCCUUUUGUGAUCUCCUGGUUCUUGUAAAUCUCACUGUGGCUGAUGAGGUCUGGAUAGAUAAUCAUGAUGGUGGCUGAAGAGAGACAAUGGUGGUGCUAGGUUACCAGUGGCGUGGAGCUCAGAGCUAAUGCAGAGCAGCUGGAGCAGUGCUGAGUUUCAAAACGUGUUGGAAAAAAUAUUAUAUGAAUGAUGCUAUUUUUUUCACUGAAUCACAUCAAGAAGCACAUGAUGUUAAGCUGUCUCAUCAUUGGUGGUGUUAACUUGGAUCGCUUGAUUAAGCCCGAGAACUACUCACUCUGGGUCUCCUCUCCACUGAGGGCUGCACACAUGCCGGGAUGACCUGCCUGUGGAAAGGAGCUACAACUUCAGGUCUCCUGAGAGCUGUAGGUAGGUUAGUUUUGCAUCGUUGAUUUAAGCAAUUUUCUAUGUAUGGGCGUUUACAUGGUAUCCAAUAAUUUGUUAUAUAACACAUAAUAUCCCAAUGCAUGAAGGCACAAAUAUGUAUUUUCUUGCUGUUGGUGGUGUAUGUUGGGGGUGAAUUCCUAAAGUGAUAUUGUUUGGUCAAAAGUUAAAUGUAUAUGUAGUUUUGGGUUACUAUUGGUAACUUUCCUUCCAUAGGAUUUGUACCAUUUUGCUUUCCCAUUAGCAAUGUGUAGGAAUGCCUGUUUCCCUGUAGCCUCCCCAACAGCUUGUGUUAUCAAGAUUUUGGAUAUUUAACAAACUUGAAGGUUCUCCAGUCAGCAGACACUGAAAUGCCUACAUGACUAAGAGAUUUUUGUGGGGGUAAUAAGGGUGCCUGUUGAAAGCAAAGGGGAGAAAGCAGAAUUGGGCAGGAAAAGCCUUCAGACUUCCAGGUAUAUCUAUGAAAGUCUAGGCCAACCCAGUGGGGAGAUUUGAAGCUGGGAUUUACCAUUUGAGAGACCCUGUGUUGGGCAGAAAUAGUUAAGGUGCCGUAAAUGGAAG